Molecule: long non-coding RNA, 1282 nt
Filed under: Homo sapiens (human)
Lineage: Eukaryota; Metazoa; Chordata; Mammalia; Primates; Hominidae
Description: non-protein coding lnc-TEX37-3:1
Source: RNAcentral
UGGUGCCACUGCACUCCAGCCUGGGUGAUAGAGAUCAUUGACCUCUCCCCAGGGCCUGGCUCUCUACCAUCUAAGGUGACUGGCUGUUUGACUGAUCUGCACUCCAGCCUGGGUGAUAGAGAUCAUUGACCUCUCCCCAGGGCCUGGCUCUCUACCAUCUAAGGUGACUGGCUGUUUGACUGAUAAUUCAACCCUAUUUAUAUGGUAGUAGAUGGUAAAUUUACAGCAAUGAUAAUGCACAAAAAGCGAUAGUUCCUAUGACAUUAACACUAAUCCUCACAGCAGCACUGUGAGGUGGGUUGAAUUGUUUCCAUUUCAUUUUAAUUUUUUUUUUACUUUUGAGACAGUGUUGCUCUGUCACGCAGGCCAGAGUGUAGUGGUGCAAUCUCGGCUGACUGCAGCCUCUGCCUCCCAGGUUCAAGAGAUUCUCCUGCCUCAGCCUCCCAAGUAGCUGGGAUUACAGGUGUGCACUACCACACCUGGCUAAUUUUUGUAUUUUAGUAAAAAUGGGGUUUUGCUAUGUUGGGCAGGCUGGUCUUGAACUCCUGACCUCGGUUGAUCUGCCCGCCUUGGCCUCCCAAUGUGCUGGGAUUACAGGCAUAAGCCACUGUGCCUAGCCUGUUUCUGUUUUAAAGGAAUUGCUAAAUACGAAAACAGAAGAGAGGGUUAGAAUGGAGGGGUUGUCUGCUCCCAAAGCCAUACUUGUCUGAAAAUCCCAGUGAGGUUUUACAGCUUGCUAUAAUAACCAAUGCCCCCAAAUGGCUUUGUAGCAGGUGUCUUUGGAAAUAAUAAUCUUAAAUCGUGAUUUCCCAAAUCUGACUAAAGAUAAGAAUUUAUCUGGCUGGGUGUGGGGGUUCAGUCACAUGGCAGACUCAGAUAGAGCUGCCUUUAAAAAUGUCCAGAAAAAUUGUUACAUUAACAGGUACUGAGUCUACCUUUUCAUCCUAUAAUCUCAAUACCAACAGAAAAUAAACCAGCAAGUUGUCAUCUACAAAUGAACAUUUUGUGGGGAGAACAGAACACCUGGUAUGCUGAAUAUGUGGAAACUCUUACGCAUUUCUUUCUAAACUCUUCUGAAAUGAUAGAAAAAUCACGUAACAAAUGAGGCAACGGACUCUUGUGAACUUAUGGUUUCGGCCUGGAAGCCACAGCACAGGAACCACAGGGAGGAAAAAUUGUUCUGGGCUUUUAGAUGCCCAAACGCCUCCAAAGACACCUUCAUACUGGAAAUCAUAAAAGUGAAUUUGGCUCCCUCUUUAAAGCCCAAGGACCAAACUGGAUU